RNAcentral lists this ribosomal RNA (279 nucleotides) under uncultured bacterium. RNAcentral describes it as "partial 16S ribosomal RNA". It matches the Rfam family "Bacterial small subunit ribosomal RNA", at positions 506 to 784 of the family's 1533-position model. The record is from RNAcentral.
UGCCAGCCGCCGCGGUAAUACGGAGGGUGCAAGCGUUGUUCGGAAUUAUUGGGCGUAAAGCGCGUGUAGGCGGUUCGUUAAGUCUGAUGUGAAAGCCCGGGGCUCAACCCCGGAAGUGCAUUGGAAACUGGCGAACUUGAGUACGGGAGAGGAAAACGGAAUUCCAUGUGUAGCGGUGAAAUGCGUAGAUAUAUGGAAGAACAUCAGUGGCGAAGGCGGUUUUCUAGCUUAUUCCUGACGCUGAGGCGCGAAAGCAAGGGGAGCGAACAGGAUUAGAUA